AGAGACUCAGGACCAUCAGUAUCAAGAAAGAAACCUCAGCUAAGCUGUACUGACUACUGACCCAGAACAACUGGGAAAUAAUCAUUGUGUUGACUGAAGACACUAAGAUUGUGGAAAUACUGUUCCACAGCAUUAUUACCUAAGAUUAAUUGGAUUUCAUCUAUAAAUCACUCUUCAUUAUCCACCAUGUGCUUGAAACAAGACACUAUAUUUGACUCUUGGGAAGAUUGCCACUGACUUCAAGUGAUGAAUGCAAGAUAAUCCUUCAAAAGAACUGCAACACAAAACAAAUACUGAGUUUCCCCAGAGUACUAUCUUAUAGUCUAAAAAUAAAAGGCUGAGAGGCAUUGAGGGUAAGAGUGUAGGAAGGGGAAGGGAGAGGCGUGUGUGUGUCCUGGCACCUCGUACUAAAAUGUAGAAGACUGUAAGGUGAUAAAUGAGAGAAGGAAAGACAAGAAAGAUGGAUCUGAGAAAAACAACAGAACAAUUGGCUGAACCCCAAGUUGUAGAAAUGGCCUAAGAUUUUCUAGUAAUUGAUUCUGUUGGCUCACAACCUCAGAAACUCCCAAGGCUGAAACUGGCUGUCCUUUGCAAGGGUAAGGGGAUACUGAAGAAAGAUGCUAAUCACUCAAGUUUGCACAUUUGAAGCACAGAAAUUCCAGAAAAAGAGGGAUAGGUGGAAUUACAUCCUAUGUGGAUUUUGGAGUCACCCUUUGAAUGAAGGUGGAAAUAACUUUAAGAGCAGCUUCUCUUCCUCUGCAGCUAAACAUCAAAAACUAGAAGAUAUAGAGAAAUAUUGGAUUCAGAAUCAAGGAUAAUUUCCACCAUCUGCUGGACUCUCCCUUGUUGGAUUUGCUUGUUCCCCUUCCAAACCUUGCCAUGCAGUGCUUAAAACACCCAAAAAGACUUUUGUAUGGAGUCAAAUUCUAGCAUUUUCUGGUCAGCCCCAUUACU
Long non-coding RNA from Canis lupus familiaris (dog), 954 nucleotides. RefSeq lists it as uncharacterized. Lineage: Eukaryota; Metazoa; Chordata; Mammalia; Carnivora; Canidae. The transcript has 6 exons. The record is from RefSeq and is a predicted model, not a curated record.